UAAAUCUACAUUUAUGCCGCCAAUACUAAAUAGGGUGAUGAAUCUGCAUUAACUUCAUUUGUAAAUUAUCUGAACUCAAUCGAAUCUACAAUACGUUUUACUGUCUCAUGGAGCUCGUCUACGAUAUCCUUUUUGGAUAUCCUUAUUACCCUUAAUGCAGAGUGAAGCGCAUUACAUCAGAUCCCAAUGAACUGGAUUCCUCCAUAGAUACUAUGGCUGAU
Long non-coding RNA from Xenopus laevis (African clawed frog), 221 nucleotides. RefSeq lists it as uncharacterized. The transcript is spliced from 3 exons. NCBI's taxonomy places the organism in Eukaryota, Metazoa, Chordata, Amphibia, Anura, Pipidae. The record is from RefSeq and is a predicted model, not a curated record.